This is a long non-coding RNA of Musa acuminata AAA Group (dessert banana), 3367 nucleotides long. RefSeq lists it as uncharacterized. Lineage: Eukaryota; Viridiplantae; Streptophyta; Magnoliopsida; Zingiberales; Musaceae. The transcript is spliced from 4 exons. The record is from RefSeq and is a predicted model, not a curated record.
GAAGGGGAUCGCCCUCAUCGGACGACGACGACUGAUCGGAAACGGCAUCGGGUUCCUAUCGAAGGAGGCGGCAAAGCUCUUCCAGACGGCUGAGCCCACGCCGGAGCAGUAGCCGCCGGAGUUCCCACGAUGAUAGCAGUGAUUAUUCGGAUUCUGGAUCGGAGAACCGGCGUCGGCGAAAGAACGGAGGAGGAGAUCUUCGAGUACAUGGCCAAGAAAGCCCAAAAGAAGGCUGUGAAGGUCGCAAAGAAGCUCAAAGCAAAUGCAGUCUCUGGUUACUCGAAUGAUUCGAAUCCAUUUGAAGACUCCAAUCUGACCGAGAGGUAACUUAUUUUGACACCUCCUUUUUCAAUAAUUAUGUCAUGAUUAAUCGUAGCUAUUCGUUCUUUGUCAAUUUGAUGUUUAGGGUUCCGAUUAUUAUUUAGUUUGUUUUGAUUCGCCUAAUCUCUAGAAAUGAUUGUGAGCAAAAGAAUUUGUAUGACUGCAUUUGCAAAAGAUGUAGUCAGAAACAGAACUGAAAAAUACUAUUUUCGUCAAAAGAAGAUUGUUAGUUGAAAAUGAAUCAGAUCACUUGUCUUCUAAAUUCAUCAGCAUAUCAGCAUCUAUUACAGAAUGAGACUUUUAACUUUUGGGGAUCUGUAGUAUGAUUUUUUAGAAUGCAUUAGCUGAAAUAGGAUGUAAUAGACUGUGUGGCCUUUUUUACUGGGUCGAUCCUGGUUUGGAGUAAACGAGUCAGUAGAAAUUGUGGGAGAUAUAUCACUCUGAUCUGAUCUCUUAAAAUGUAGGAUACCAUGUCUCUCUGAUUUAUUUAAAAGAAAGAAAGUUAUUAUGCUCAACAUUAUCAUUGUUGUCAAGGUUAUCAAGCUCUAUAUUGCACAUGAACACAAGGGCUGGUUAAUUUGUGAUCUUCGUCUGUCCCAUCUAGAAAUAAAUCCCUGAAUUGUGAUAAAAUAAGUUACUAUUUUCUUUCUAGUCGCACGAUAAAACAGUGGGAAACAUAACGAAAGAGGAACUAGAUUGAUCAUUAAUCCACCAAAAACAAUGUGAGCAUCCUAAUUUAGAUACUUGAAUGUGAAUCACUAAUAACAGUAGCUACAUGCUUUCUAUGUUUCGAGCUUCAUUUGCUUUGUCUAAGUCAUUCAAAUAAGCUUUCCACUUGACCCAAAUUUGACAAAACAUGUAAUCUUUCUUGGAUCUCCUUUUAGCCAACAUUCUGUACUUUCAAAAUGCAUUCUUUGAGAGCUGCUUGUCUUGACUUCUUCUUAGUUUUGCAAUUGUCUAAUCGAUGCUCGAUCAUCGACAACUUGUGAACAUUUUCUUAGCUACACACGAGUCGCCAAUAGGUUAUGGAAAAACCCCUAAAUUGGAAGUAGUAACUUGACAUUGGCAACAUGUUAAGCGAAAGUCAUCAAACAUUUCACACAACCAGCAAAGAUUGUCACAUGAUCACUGGCAAACAAAAAGUAGGGGUAAAAAACAUAGAUAAAUAUAAUGUGUAGCUGAAAGAAUUGAUAGAAGGCAGAAAAAAAGAAAGCAAAAGGGAAGAAGAGAGAGGACUGUUUUAGGACAAGUAGAGGAGAAUGUGGAAAACAAAAGAAGAGACAUGCCUCUUUGAGAUAGUGACAGUUGCCAAGGGUUAGUGGUAGUAUUGGAAUAGAGUUGUGGAAGAGGAUUCCCUGAACGUUCAUAGGAAAAGAUUUUUUCACAUCACCUUUGUAUUGAAAAGAAAUCCAUACUUAGAAAGAAAUGAAGAGGAAACUGAAAGUUGUAGGGUCAUCAUAAACUUGCACAUGACUGGAUCAUGAUGGAUUAAUUAGUCUAUCAAUUUCGUUGAAUCCAAACCAUUAGCUAAAAUACUUCAACUGAAGUUGAUAAGAAUAUAUCCAUCAUAUCCUAUUUUCAUUGUGAGAUCAAUCGAGGUGUUAAGUAUACUUUGUUCAUUAACAUUUUGAUAGUUUUAUAUGAAGUAAAAAUAUAGAACAUGAUAUUGCCAAGGUAUUUUUUUUUAUAUAUCAAUGAAGUUCCAAUAAGCAAAAAGUAAGGAUGGUGUGGAAUAAUUUUAUAUAAUCACUGCAUAAUUGUUCAUAUUUUCUUACAGUUUACUUGGAUCAAUCAAAGAAAAUGACAUAAUCCUUUUAUGGCAAUAAUUAGCUAUAUGUUGCAUAAUGUACUACACCAAUUCUGUGCUUGGCAUCCAUAGCCAUGAGAUCUCCAAACUGACUCUAAGCUGGGCUGCUGCUGCUGCUGCUGCUUCACGGAUCAUUCAGCAUAAUGCAACUCCUCUCCUACUUUAGCAGCAGAUUCUUACGAAGGUGUGCUCCAUGAUUUCAAUUUAUAGCAAACACAUGAAGCGUAGUUCUUCAUUGACCCUCAUGUCCAUAUUCCACACAGGAUAUAUCAGAUUCAAAGGCCUUCCUAAUGAAGUGAAGAGUUUCAAGUCUGAGACAGCGUAUGUUCCCUGCACCGUGACAAAUGGAAUUCCACGUGGCAUCCGUUGUCUCGUGGAGAUGCUCCCUUGCUUCCACGGUCGCCAACAUAGCAAUAAAACAAAAACGAGAGGCUGGCAAGUCAAACCUACUUGCAUGUAUAAGGGUGUUCAAAGUCGUGAAGUCCAACGACAUUGUAGCCCUAACAUCUAAGUUUUUCCCAUUGUUAAUGUCAUAAGCAAGGCAAUCAAGCCACAUGACACCAAUUUAUAAGCAUCGGUAAGAUGGGGGAGCUGAGAGAGAUAAGACUGCAGGAAUAAAUGAAGAAGGUCACACAUCUCGGUUCAUGUCACCUCACCACCGCCAUGGUAGAUUGCAAUUAAUUCCCACUGAGAAGGGGCUCGCAACGACACCGCUCCAGGGUUCGGUACUUGGCCUAUCAUGGAGGACUCUACUGUGUGCCAUUUCCCAAGGCAGGGAGGCUUGUGCCUUGUUGACCUUGCACAGAUAUUAUGCAGCCCAAGGGACUGGGGUUCCCAAAUCCUGCUAUUUGAUUCAGGUUGGUGUCGCAUCUUAUGAAGGAGAAAGAAGAGAGCGAUGGCAAGAAUGGUGAUCCUAAUCUGUUUACUUCUUCCGCUGCUGUUUGAGAGUGAUUCAAGGAAGCUAUCGUGGGUGCCUGACAUGCCAGGAAACGCUUCUGCCACUGCCACUCAUGGAGAAGGCACGGAGAAGGAAGAAUGCAAAGGCGUGGACACGGAGAGAUGCACUGCUGGGCGAGGGAUGGAAGCUCACACGGAUUAUAUCUACACCCAAGACUCGGAGCCAUGAUUCCGUGUCCCCAUAUCAUUUCUACUUCUCUGUGUGUUCCCCCCUUUCUUGGUGAACCACCGGACAUCUGUUGGUCUCAUGACACUGGAAUUAACUGUUUAAUACUUUGUUCA